Molecule: ribosomal RNA, 173 nt
Filed under: Gastrotheca ernestoi
Lineage: Eukaryota; Metazoa; Chordata; Amphibia; Anura; Hemiphractidae
Description: partial 16S ribosomal RNA
Source: RNAcentral
ACGUGAUCUGAGUUCAGACCGGAGUAAUCCAGGUCGGUUUCUAUCUAUAAGAGGUUCCUUCUAGUACGAAAGGAUCGAAGAAACACGGCCUAUGCACCAGUAAACCGUCUAUUAAAAUUAUGAAUUAAAACUUAACUUUAAAUCAAACCAUAACAUAGCCUAAUAAAAAGGUA